This 301-nucleotide ribosomal RNA is filed under the name uncultured bacterium. RNAcentral describes it as "partial 16S ribosomal RNA". It matches the Rfam family "Bacterial small subunit ribosomal RNA", at positions 509 to 807 of the family's 1533-position model. The record is from RNAcentral.
CAGUAGCCGCGGGAAAACGGAGGGUGCAAGCGUUAAUCGGAAUUACUGGGCGUAAAGCGCACGCAGGCGGUCUGUCAAGUCAGAUGUGAAAUCCCCGGGCUUAACCUGGGAACUGCAUUUGAAACUGGCAGGCUAGAGUCUUGUAGAGGGGGGUAGAAUUCCAGGUGUAGCGGUGAAAUGCGUAGAGAUCUGGAGGAAUACCGGUGGCGAAGGCGGCCCCCUGGACAAAGACUGACGCUCAGGUGCGAAAGCGUGGGGAGCAAACAGGAUUAGAUACCCGAGUAGUCCCUGUCUCUUAUAC